AUGAGCAGCCUCCGCCGUCGCCGCCCUUCGCCGGCGGCGGUGCCGCCGCUGGAGGACGACAACCUCCUCUCCGAGAUCCUCCUCCGCCUCCCCCCACAGCCGUCCACCCUCCCCCGCGCAUCCCUCGUCUGCAAGCGCUGGCGCGGCCUCGUCUCCGAUCCAGGCUUCUGCCGCCGAUUCCGCCGCCGCCACCGCCGCCACCCUCCCCUCCUCGGUUUCUUCCAAGUAGACGACGGGCUCUCCUUCGUGCCUUCCCUCAAGGCCCCGGAUCGUAUCUCGCCCGAGCGCUUCUCCUUGCAACACGAAGAUUUGGUCGACCGCUUCUUCUCCCUUGGAUGCCGACAUGGCCUGGCACUCAUCUACCUUCGCAAGCGUCUCCAGCUCCUUGUGUGGGACCCCGUCACCGGCGACCAGCACCACAUUGCCGUCCCCCCGGGGUUCGACACGGAUACAUCCCCAAUCAGCGGCGCGGUGUUUCGCUCUGCCGGGGACGUCCAACACUUCCAUCUGGCUUUGGUAGGGAGCAGUGAUGGACAAAUUACGCAAGCAGUCGCCCGUGUUUACUCGUCGGAAACCGGUGUAUGGGGCGAUCUUAUCACAACACCGCUUCAAUUCGAGGAUGCUGCCCAUUUUCGCAUCGCAGUUUCUACAAUCAAGCCUGCUGUGCUGGUUGGGGGUUCUCUUUACUGGUUGCUUGAUGGGAGCUCGGGCGGGAUCCUUGAAUUUGAUAUGGAUCAGCAAAGACUAGCUGUCAUACCUAUGCCAGUAAAUGGCCUCAGAUUUGUCCACUUCUCGAUGAUACGGGCAGAUGGCGGUGGAUUUGGUCUCCUCGUUUUAUCAGGCUUCAGUGCCCAAUUCUGGAAGAGAAGGACCAAUUGCGAUGGUGUUGCUUCAUGGGUGUUGGGAAGAACCAUUGAAAUUGACAAGCUACUUCAAUGCGAACCAGAGUUGAAUGGGAGCCAAUUAAUACUAGGUUUUGCUGAGGACAAUAAUGUGGUUCUUUUCUGGACAAUUGAUGGCCUUGUCAUGUUACAGCUUGAGUCACUACAGUCUGAGAAAGUCUUGGGAACCAAAAUCAUGGCUCACUAUCACUCAUUCGAAAGUGUUUAUACUACAGAAAGAGGAAUUGGUGGUCCUGAAGCUGUUCUUUUGCACAACACCUGA
This 1164-nucleotide ribosomal RNA is filed under the name Triticum aestivum (bread wheat). Its description in RNAcentral is "partial small subunit ribosomal RNA". Lineage: Eukaryota; Viridiplantae; Streptophyta; Magnoliopsida; Poales; Poaceae. The record is from RNAcentral.